CCUGUCUCUAGAGACAUUGCAGGUGUGCUGUUUUGUCACAUGAGCAUCAGGAGGUGAUGGAGAGAAAAGAAGCUCUGUCUAUAUUCAGUGUUCUGACCUAUGAACUAGGAACAUCUGAAUGAUUAGGAGCCUAACCUU
Rattus norvegicus (Norway rat) is the source of this 138-nucleotide small nucleolar RNA. Ensembl annotates it as small nucleolar RNA SNORA17. The record is from Ensembl. Lineage: Eukaryota; Metazoa; Chordata; Mammalia; Rodentia; Muridae.